This 1065-nucleotide ribosomal RNA is filed under the name Vibrio scophthalmi. RNAcentral's name for it is "bacterial SSU rRNA". It matches the Rfam family "Bacterial small subunit ribosomal RNA", at positions 408 to 1461 of the family's 1533-position model. The record is from RNAcentral. Lineage: Bacteria; Pseudomonadati; Pseudomonadota; Gammaproteobacteria; Vibrionales; Vibrionaceae.
AAGAAGGCCUUCGGGUUGUAAAGCACUUUCAGUCGUGAGGAAGGUAGUUGCGUUAAUAGCGUAAUUAUUUGACGUUAGCGACAGAAGAAGCACCGGCUAACUCCGUGCCAGCAGCCGCGGUAAUACGGAGGGUGCGAGCGUUAAUCGGAAUUACUGGGCGUAAAGCGCAUGCAGGUGGUUUGUUAAGUCAGAUGUGAAAGCCCGGGGCUCAACCUCGGAAUUGCAUUUGAAACUGGCAGACUAGAGUACUGUAGAGGGGGGUAGAAUUUCAGGUGUAGCGGUGAAAUGCGUAGAGAUCUGAAGGAAUACCGGUGGCGAAGGCGGCCCCCUGGACAGAUACUGACACUCAGAUGCGAAAGCGUGGGGAGCAAACAGGAUUAGAUACCCUGGUAGUCCACGCCGUAAACGAUGUCUACUUGGAGGUUGUGGCCUUGAGCCGUGGCUUUCGGAGCUAACGCGUUAAGUAGACCGCCUGGGGAGUACGGUCGCAAGAUUAAAACUCAAAUGAAUUGACGGGGGCCCGCACAAGCGGUGGAGCAUGUGGUUUAAUUCGAUGCAACGCGAAGAACCUUACCUACUCUUGACAUCCAGAGAAGCCAGCGGAGACGCAGGUGUGCCUUCGGGAACUCUGAGACAGGUGCUGCAUGGCUGUCGUCAGCUCGUGUUGUGAAAUGUUGGGUUAAGUCCCGCAACGAGCGCAACCCUUAUCCUUGUUUGCCAGCGAGUAAUGUCGGGAACUCCAGGGAGACUGCCGGUGAUAAACCGGAGGAAGGUGGGGACGACGUCAAGUCAUCAUGGCCCUUACGAGUAGGGCUACACACGUGCUACAAUGGCGCAUACAGAGGGCUGCCAACCAGCGAUGGUGAGCGAAUCCCAAAAAGUGCGUCGUAGUCCGGAUUGGAGUCUGCAACUCGACUCCAUGAAGUCGGAAUCGCUAGUAAUCGUGGAUCAGAAUGCCACGGUGAAUACGUUCCCGGGCCUUGUACACACCGCCCGUCACACCAUGGGAGUGGGCUGCAAAAGAAGUGGGUAGUUUAACCCUUUUCGAGGAGGACGCUCACCACU